Ribosomal RNA from Lepisosteus oculatus (spotted gar), 124 nucleotides. NCBI's taxonomy places the organism in Eukaryota, Metazoa, Chordata, Actinopteri, Semionotiformes, Lepisosteidae. The record is from Rfam.
GCCAGCAGCUACAGUAUAUCACCCUGCAACUCACAACUGACAACCCAUUGAAGCUAAGCAGGUGUAAGCCUGGUCAGUACCUGGAUGGGAGACCUCCUGGGAAAAACUAAGGUUGCUGCUGGAA